RNAcentral lists this unclassified non-coding RNA (240 nucleotides) under soil metagenome. RNAcentral's name for it is "partial contains 5.8S ribosomal RNA, internal transcribed spacer 2, and large subunit ribosomal RNA". The record is from RNAcentral.
AACGGUCUAUACCUGCGGUACCUGCGGAGGGAUCAUUACUGAAUUGAUUUUGGGGAUGUUGCUGGUCUCUUGAGGCAAUGGUGCACUCCCUCAAACAUUUCACAAUUUCCAUCUUACCCAUGUGCACAUCCUGUAGGUGGUCUCCCAACCCACCCUCCAAGGAAAGGGGGGAGUGUGUGGGUCUGGUCUCCUAUGUAUUUCCUUGCCAACAUCACACGUUUUGACUGAAUGAAUCCUGUG